RNAcentral lists this ribosomal RNA (383 nucleotides) under uncultured bacterium. RNAcentral describes it as "bacterial SSU rRNA". It matches the Rfam family "Bacterial small subunit ribosomal RNA", at positions 107 to 489 of the family's 1533-position model. The record is from RNAcentral.
UGAGUAACACGUAUCCAACCUGCCGAUAACUCGGGGAUAGCCUUUCGAAAGAAAGAUUAAUAUCCGAUAGUAUAUUAAAACCGCAUGGUUUUACUAUUAAAGAAUUUCGGUUAUCGAUGGGGAUGCGUUCCAUUAGUUUGUUGGCGGGGUAACGGCCCACCAAGACUACGAUGGAUAGGGGUUCUGAGAGGAAGGUCCCCCACAUUGGAACUGAGACACGGUCCAAACUCCUACGGGAGGCAGCAGUGAGGAAUAUUGGUCAAUGGACGAGAGUCUGAACCAGCCAAGUAGCGUGAAGGAUGACUGCCCUAUGGGUUGUAAACUUCUUUUAUAUGGGAAUAAAGUUUUCCACGUGUGGAAUUUUGUAUGUACCAUAUGAAUAA